UCAGCCUGUGAUUUUGAAUAAGAGACCCAGGCCACAGCCAAGCAGGACCAUUGCCAAUCACAGACUCCUCAGUGGGAAAUCAAUAUUUGUUUAUUUGGUUGUCUGUUGCUGCAGCCAAGGUUAAUACACAAAUUAUGUAACAACCUAAGCUCAGCCACAGCUUGUCAUAUGCUGCAGGGAAGCUGGGGAUCCUAGAGGCUGGCUUUCCUAUGUGGAGUAAAAGCCUAUUCAUGUAUGAAGUCACCAGACAAGGGCAGAAUCAAGAAAUGUCACGAGAGCAAGAACCCUGGAGCCUGGAGCCCCUGAUCUGAGCUGUGCCUGAAGACUCAAGGUGGACACAAUGUUUUAGUGAGUGACAUCUGAUGGCAUCUGGAGCCCAGGCCUAUAUGAUACAAGGCUUGCCUAUCAAUUAGACCUGGAACUACCCAAGAUUCCAUUCUACAGUAGUUCCCCUCUGAGUGUGGAAAACACCACUCCUGCUAAAGAUCACACAGAGACAUUUUCUACUGUGCUCUAUAAGAUGUUUUGAAAAAAUAUCUUAAGAGGAUUUAAUUUGUCUUCCUACUACUGGCAUCUGGGAAGGAAAAUAACAAGAAUGUGUUUCUCACCACUUACAUCUGUUGAGAUACUGGGAGCUGUGACUGUCAACAUUUUUGGACGGAGAAGCCAGUUGGUGGAAGAGGGUAUUGAGGACUUUGAGCUGCACCCCUGAUCGCCACCUGCUGGUCCCCUGAUGUCACUGCCUAUAUUGCCGGCACCCCUAGUUUUCUAGGUCUGAACUUCCCAUUCAGUUGGCUCAGCUGAGUAUUAUUAAACGAUUUCUGUCUGCAGCUAUGCCUAGACACAACCUCGGAGAGAGGGAGGUAAUUCAGAGGAGUGAAGGAAAAUGAAGGGAUUACAAAAAAUCGUUCACUUAACAUAGGGGCGAGUGUUAUAAAAAGAGUAUGGGGGUUCCCCAAAUUCAUCAUAUUCAUUCAUAUUCAAAGGUGUAAAUGGUGAUCUUCUCUCCCUUUCCCUUUCCCCUCCCUCCUGGAUAGAGGGGUGGCAUCUCAGGAGGCAGGUCUUGGGGAAGUGGGUGGUAAGGGCAACGUGUCCCUCAGCUGAAGAGGCAGGCCAUUAUGGGCAGGGAGGUAUCAUGUGGAGGUGGGGACAGUGGUGUAUCUAGCAUCUGAGGAGGCAGGGAGGGACGAGCUCAGAGGUGGGGACAGGGAAGGAUGAUAUUGAGCAAAUGAGUAUAUCUGCUGGGAAUAAUGGCAGUCAAGCUUCUUACUUCCUGAGAAGGUAUUUAUAAACGUGGAAGAGGGGGAAAGGCUUGGAUUUGAAUUGAGAAUAUUGAUACGAAUUCACACGAGGUGUGUAAACACCCUUACACACAGGGACAUAGAAAUAAUAAAUGUGUGUGUUUGUGUGGA
Molecule: non-coding RNA, 1412 nt
Organism: Ictidomys tridecemlineatus (thirteen-lined ground squirrel)
Lineage: Eukaryota; Metazoa; Chordata; Mammalia; Rodentia; Sciuridae
Source: RefSeq, a predicted model, not a curated record